CUCCGGCUGCUGCACCGGCAGCUCGUGCACCCCAGGGGUCAGGCGGUAGGCCAGCCCAUAGCCGCUGGGCAGACGGGUGACCUGCUGGGGGCUCAGCGCGCGCUUCUUGACACAGGUGAGACCUGUGAACUCGGGCUUGCACAGACACUCGUAGCUCACCUGGGUGUGCUGCAGGCAGGUGCUUAAAACACAUCAGGUGAAUGAGGGAGCGAGGGAGGGAACGCCAGCCAGGGAGGCACAGAGAGGUGCCCGGGGCCGUGACCCCUGUCUG
RNAcentral lists this long non-coding RNA (271 nucleotides) under Homo sapiens (human). RNAcentral describes it as "HSALNT0215875". The record is from RNAcentral. Lineage: Eukaryota; Metazoa; Chordata; Mammalia; Primates; Hominidae.